Molecule: ribosomal RNA, 253 nt
Filed under: uncultured bacterium
Lineage: Bacteria
Also listed under: 2 other names
Description: partial 16S ribosomal RNA
Rfam family: Bacterial small subunit ribosomal RNA
Source: RNAcentral
UACAGAGACUGCAAGCGUUAUUCGGAUUCACUGGGCGUAAAGGGUGCGCAGGUGGCCGUGUGUGUCAGAUGUGAAAUCCCGGGGCUUAACUCCGGAACUGCGUCUGAAACUACACGGCUAGAGCAUUGGAGAGGGUAGUGGAAUUCACGGUGUAGCAGUGAAAUGCGUAGAUAUCGUGAGGAACACCAGAGGCGAAGGCGACUACCUGGACAAUAGCUGACACUCAGGCACGAAAGCGUGGGGAGCCAAAGGG